This 176-nucleotide ribosomal RNA is filed under the name uncultured bacterium. RNAcentral describes it as "partial 16S ribosomal RNA". It matches the Rfam family "Bacterial small subunit ribosomal RNA", at positions 338 to 524 of the family's 1533-position model. The record is from RNAcentral.
CCUACGGGAGGCAGCAGUGGGGAAUAUUGCACAAUGGGCGGAAGCCUGAUGCAGCGACGCCGCGUGAGGGAUGAAUGCUUCGGGUUGUAAACCUCUUUCAGUAGGGAAGAAGCCUUCGGGGUGACGGUACUUGCAGAAGAAGCGCCGGCUAACUACGUGCCAGCAGCCGCGGUAAU